AGCCGAGCGGUAGAGAUUCUUCGGAAUCUUGAGAGCGGCGCACGGGUGCGGAACACGUGUGCAACCUACCUUUAUCAGGGGGAUAGCCUUUCGAAAGGAAGAUUAAUACCCCAUAAUAUAUUUGAUGGCAUCAUUAAAUAUUGAAAACUCCGGUGGAUAGAGAUGGGCACGCGCAAGAUUAGAUAGUUGGUGAGGUAACGGCUCACCAAGUCAAUGAUCUUUAGGGGGCCUGAGAGGGUGAUCCCCCACACUGGUACUGAGACACGGACCAGACUCCUACGGGAGGCAGCAGUGAGGAAUAUUGGACAAUGGGUGAGAGCCUGAUCCAGCCAUCCCGCGUGAAGGACGACGGCCCUAUGGGUUGUAAACUUCUUUUGUAUAGGGAUAAACCUACUCUCGUGAGAGUAGCUGAAGGUACUAUACGAAUAAGCACCGGCUAACUCCGUGCCAGCAGCCGCGGUAAUACGGAGGGUGCAAGCGUUAUCCGGAUUUAUUGGGUUUAAAGGGUCCGUAGGCGGACUCGUAAGUCAGUGGUGAAAUCUCAUAGCUUAACUAUGAAACUGCCAUUGAUACUGCGGGUCUUGAGUAAAGUAGAAGUGGCUGGAAUAAGUAGUGUAGCGGUGAAAUGCAUAGAUAUUACUUAGAACACCAAUUGCGAAGGCAGGUCACUAUGUUUUAACUGACGCUGAUGG
RNAcentral lists this ribosomal RNA (692 nucleotides) under Chryseobacterium sp. S25.07.B.RBT.MI.W.Ulcer.D. Its description in RNAcentral is "bacterial SSU rRNA". It matches the Rfam family "Bacterial small subunit ribosomal RNA", at positions 60 to 752 of the family's 1533-position model. The record is from RNAcentral. Lineage: Bacteria; Pseudomonadati; Bacteroidota; Flavobacteriia; Flavobacteriales; Weeksellaceae.